RNAcentral lists this ribosomal RNA (449 nucleotides) under uncultured bacterium. RNAcentral describes it as "partial 16S ribosomal RNA". It matches the Rfam family "Bacterial small subunit ribosomal RNA", at positions 29 to 523 of the family's 1533-position model. The record is from RNAcentral.
AACGAACGCUGGCGGCAUGCCUAACACAUGCAAGUCGAACGAGAUCUUCGGGUCUAGUGGCGCACGGGUGCGUAACGCGUGGGAAUCUGCCCUUUGGUUCGGAAUAACAGUUGGAAACGACUGCUAAUACCGGAUGAUGACGAAAGUCCAAAGAUUUAUCGCCAGAGGAUGAGCCCGCGUAGGAUUAGCUAGUUGGUGUGGUAAAGGCGCACCAAGGCGACGAUCCUUAGCUGGUCUGAGAGGAUGAUCAGCCACACUGGGACUGAGACACGGGCCAGACUCCUACGGGAGGCAGAAGUGGGGAAUAUUGGACAAUGGGCGAAAGCCUGAUCCAGCAAUGCCGCGUGAGUGAUGAAGGCCUUAGGGUUGUAAAGCUCUUUUACCCGGGAUGAUAAUGACAGUACCGGGAGAAUAAGCUCCGGCUAACUCCGUGCCAGCCGCCGCGGUAA